Molecule: RNA transcript, 2808 nt
Organism: Solanum tuberosum (potato)
Lineage: Eukaryota; Viridiplantae; Streptophyta; Magnoliopsida; Solanales; Solanaceae
Exons: 8
Source: RefSeq, a predicted model, not a curated record
UUAUAUCCAUAGUUCGAUGGAUCCCAACUAACAACAUCCUUAUUUUCCGUAUUACAUUUUCCACUCGUGUCCUUUCCAAUUAAGUGUAUAAAUUCCAUGAUUCUCAGGGAUUGGUCAUUGCGAUAGUGUCUUUAGUAUUGUUGUGAUAAUUGUGGUUUCUAGAUGGCUAUAUAUUCCAAAUAUAGAAGGGAAAGGCAAGACUCCAGUCUUACUUCUUGUUUAUCAUUUCUUUUUUUAAUAUUACGACAAUCAUUACUUCACAACAGUACAAUUAUUUCUUCAGGUUCACCAACUGUUUGAAGAAAUGCCUGAACGAUGGUUUCACUCAUUUUGAUACAGACCCAUUUGAGUUUUUCACCUAUUCCCACUCUAAUCGUCAUAAAUUCCCAAAAAAGACUUCAUUGCAGAAGAAAAGCUGCCAUGUUUAAUCUUGUAUUGGGAAAAAAUAUGGGAUCUUUUCAGGUUUUUAAGAAGCUUAGCAAGAAAAGAGUUGGGGAUAGUGCAUAUUGCUUGUGUAGGAAAGGGUUGGGAAGUGAAGGGGAUAUGGAGCUGGAAGAGGAGAUUUUGGCUUUCAUGGAGAUAUCUGAGAACCCAAGUGUUUUUCCAACAAGGAAAGAAUUGGAAAAAGCUGGAAGAGUGGAUUUGGUGGAAGCUAUAAAGAACAGAGGAGGAUGGUUUUCGUUUGGUUGGGACUCUGAGGAUGAUGACACUAACACUGUGAAUGUUAAUGAGGUUGAGACUGUGGAAAAGGAUUUUGACAUUGAGGAGUUCCAUGAUAGAGUCAAGAGUUGUCAAGAGAGUGAUUUAUUACAUGAGAAUGAAGCUCAUUUUACUGGUUCUGGAGAUUCUAGUUCUUCUCAGCCCGCUUCGUCCUCUGGUAGAUUGAUAGAAACUGUAGCAGAGGAAGAUAGCGGGAUUGAAGGGAUAUUGAAUCGACUAGAAAAAGAGAGGAACUCAUCUCUUGGUAUUGAUCUGGGAAAGCGUGGACAUACUUUUCAUACAUCAAGUAGGGACAACAUAGAUGAUAGAAGCUUUGGAACCACUGAUGCAGACAGGACUGACCUAGGGAAAAAUGAUAGCCUGAGUAAAGGUAGCCCCAUGAAAGACAUUCGAAGUGACGAGGAGCUUAACCACAGCGUUUCCCCAGCCAGGUGGAGAAAAUGGAGCAUACAACGUGCAGGCCUUCAGGAUAUAGAUUUUGAAGCUGCUGAGGUUGCUCUGGGUAAAAGUUGGAUUGAAGGUACCAGCGAAGCUUCGGGAGAUGAUGCAGUUAAUAUCACUGAGAGUAGAUUUGAAGCCUUACAAAGAUCGAAAAAUGGCAACAACAAUGAGAUGAGCAUUCGUCUUAACCAUUUAGAGCUUGAGCUAUCUAUGACACUCUGCUCAUUGAAAUCCAAGAGUGAGGAGUUCAGUUCGAAGGAGGUUUUUGGAAGCUCCCCAAGUGAUUCUGAUGCAUGGGAGUUUCAAGAGAAUGAAUUCAUGAAUGGCCGGGAGAGAUUGAGGUUGAUUCGUGCAAAGCUGGCUGUGCUUGAGGGGAAAAUGACACUUGCAAUGAUUGAUGCGCAGAAGAUGUUAGACGAGAAGCAGAAGAGGAUUGAUAGGUCUAGUAAAGCUUUACAGCUUCUUCGUACUGCUCGGAUUGUUUGGACUAACUCCGCCUCAGAGGUUCUUCUAGCAGGUUCUUUUGAUGGAUGGACAACUCAGGUUUCAUCUUGCUUCCAAAUCAAUGAUAGGAAAUAGGAGACACCGCUUUACUGUCAAAACGUCAAGCAUAGUUUCGUCUAAUGUGAUCGUCCAGACCAACUUAAUCUUAUUUUUGUUGUUUAAGAUGAAGAUGAUGUGUUACCAAUGAUUACUGUAAGGACAUCAUCUUCUGCUUGGUUUAGUCUAGAAGUGUCACCUAUAGAGUCAACAUCUAGCUUUUCUUGUGGACAAUGUGAGAGAAGUUCACAACUAGUCAUGUUUGGCUACAGCAGGAAAGUUAAAGAUUCUUUUUUAGGGGGUACACCCAAUUAUUAUCCAGUGCAAUAUGCUUUGCUGACUCGACUCGAGCAAAUCACAUGGCUUAUUGCCUUCACAAUAAUUUAUUUCCUCUUUUAUUUUGUUUGUGGGGGAUCCAAGAAGGGUUUGCAAGAAGAGCUAUGGAUCUAAUCACAAUAGUAUCUGAUCACUUUUUAAGAAAACGAAAGAAUAUUUAGAACUUGAAUAUAAUCCCUCCGUUUCAAUCAAUGUGUCUUACUUUCUUUUUUGGUUUAUUUCAAAAUGCCACCUCUUUGUAAUUAGUAAGUUUUUUUUUUUUUUCCGAACAUUCCCAUUUCACCUUUAAUAAUAUUCCCUCAUAGGAAUAACAUGGUAUAUUUAAGACCACAAAAUUUAAGGGGUAGCUUUGAUAUCUUAUAUAGACCUUUAUUUAAGAUCACAAGUUUCAAAAGUCUUUCUUACAUUCUUAAAUUUCGUUCCACACAAAUUAUGACAUAAAUGAAACGACAGAUAGCAAAACUCAGGAUUUUCUCAACUUACUAAUCCAUAUCAGAUACAGAGCGUUAGUGACAUGGAGACUUCAUAGUCAAGGUGCACUUCUUCAAUCCUUGCUCAGAACUUUAUUAGGAUGGCGUACAAAGUGUUUUACCUUUGUUUUCCAGAAAGUCACUUGGAAAUUAGAGAAUGAUGGAUAAAUCGAGCACGGGUGUUUUCUCUCUAAGCCUAAAGCUGUAUCCAGGCAGACAUGAGAUCAAGUUUGUUGUUGAUGGCAUAUGGAAGAUUGAUCCUUUGAGGCCUAUUGUUCACAAUGAUGGACACGAAAACAAU